AUGCUUUGUACUUCAGGCCUCCAAAAUGGUAAACUGAGGACAAGCUAGACAUUUGCUAUUGUGAGACCAGGUCUGUAUCCCCGGACCUACUUCUUUACCUAGGUCUGGUUUUCUAAAUGCUGGUGACAAGC
This is a small nucleolar RNA of Cricetulus griseus (Chinese hamster), 131 nucleotides long. Its record names the gene SNORA72. It matches the Rfam family "Small nucleolar RNA SNORA72". From Rfam's summary of the family: U72 is a member of the H/ACA class of snoRNAs. The snoRNA gene is located in intron 4 of the ribosomal L30 protein gene in human, mouse and chicken. NCBI's taxonomy places the organism in Eukaryota, Metazoa, Chordata, Mammalia, Rodentia, Cricetidae. The record is from Ensembl.